GAGUUUGAUCGUGGCUCAGAUUGAACGCUGGCGGCAUGCCUUACACAUGCAAGUCGAACGGCAGCAUGAUCUAGCUUGCUAGAUUGAUGGCGAGUGGCGAACGGGUGAGUAAUACGUCGGAACGUGCCCUGUAGUGGGGGAUAACUAGUCGAAAGAUUAGCUAAUACCGCAUACGACCUGAGGGUGAAAGUGGGGGACCGCAGGGCCUCAUGCUAUAGGAGCGGCCGAUGUCUGAUUAGCUAGUUGGUGGGUAAAGGCCCACCAAGGCGACGAUCAGUAGCUGGUCUGAGAGGACGAUCAGCCACACUGGGACUGAGACACGGCCCAGACUCCUACGGGAGGCAGCAGUGGGGAAUUUUGGACAAUGGGCGAAAGCCUGAUCCAGCAAUGCCGCGUGUGUGAAGAAGGCCUGUGUAG
Molecule: ribosomal RNA, 417 nt
Filed under: uncultured microorganism
Description: bacterial SSU rRNA
Rfam family: Bacterial small subunit ribosomal RNA
Source: RNAcentral